UUUAAGGUCUCUUUCGAGGCCACACACACAACCUAUACACUAUUCU
This is a non-coding RNA of Anopheles maculatus, 46 nucleotides long. The record is from Rfam. Lineage: Eukaryota; Metazoa; Arthropoda; Insecta; Diptera; Culicidae.